GAUGAACGCUAGCUACAGGCUUAACACAUGCAAGUCGAGGGGCAGCAUGAACUUAGCUUGCUAAGUUUGAUGGCGACCGGCGCACGGGUGAGUAACACGUAUCCAACCUGCCGAUGACUCGGGGAUAGCCUUUCGAAAGAAAGAUUAAUACCCGAUGGCAUAGUUCUUCCGCAUGGUAGGACUAUUAAAGAAUUUCGGUCAUCGAUGGGGAUGCGUUCCAGUAGCUUGUUGGCGGGGUAACGGCCCACCAAGGCAGCGAUGGAUAGGGGUUCUGAGAGGAAGGUCCCCCACAUUGGAACUGAGACACGGUCCAA
This 314-nucleotide ribosomal RNA is filed under the name uncultured bacterium. Its description in RNAcentral is "bacterial SSU rRNA". It matches the Rfam family "Bacterial small subunit ribosomal RNA", at positions 28 to 334 of the family's 1533-position model. The record is from RNAcentral.